AGUGAACGCUGGCGGUAGGCCUAACACAUGCAAGUCGAACGGCAGCACAGAGGAGCUUGCUCCUUGGGUGGCGAGUGGCGGACGGGUGAGGAAUACAUCGGAAUCUACUCUGUCGUGGGGGAUAACGUAGGGAAACUUACGCUAAUACCGCAUACGACCUACAGGUGAAAGCAGGGGAUCCUUGGACCUUGCGCGAUUGAAUGAGCCGAUGUCGGAUUAGCUAGUUGGCGGGGUAAAGGCCCACCAAGGCGACGAUCCGUAGCUGGUCUGAGAGGAUGAUCAGCCACACUGGAACUGAGACACGGUCCUGACUCCUACGGGAGGCAGCAGUGGGGAAUAUUGGACAAUGGGCGCAAGCCUGAUCCAGCCAUACCGCGUGGGUGAAGAAGGCCUUCGGGUUGUAAAGCCCUUUUGUUGGGAAAGAAAUCCAUCUGAUUAAUACCCGGGUGGGAUGACGGUACCCAAAGAAUAAGCACCGGCUAACUUCGUGCCAGCCGCCGCCGUAA
This 506-nucleotide ribosomal RNA is filed under the name uncultured bacterium. RNAcentral's name for it is "partial 16S ribosomal RNA". It matches the Rfam family "Bacterial small subunit ribosomal RNA", at positions 29 to 523 of the family's 1533-position model. The record is from RNAcentral.